This 71-nucleotide transfer RNA is filed under the name human gut metagenome. It matches the Rfam family "tRNA". From Rfam's summary of the family: Transfer RNA (tRNA) molecules are approximately 80 nucleotides in length. The record is from RNAcentral.
GAGACAUAGCUCAGCUGGUUAGAGCGCUGCAUUCACAUUGCAGAGGCCGUGGGUUCGAGUCCCUCUGUCUC